RNAcentral lists this ribosomal RNA (494 nucleotides) under uncultured bacterium. RNAcentral describes it as "partial 16S ribosomal RNA". It matches the Rfam family "Bacterial small subunit ribosomal RNA", at positions 28 to 507 of the family's 1533-position model. The record is from RNAcentral.
GACGAACGCUGGCGGCGUGCUUAACACAUGCAAGUCGAACGGAAAGGCCUGCUUUCCCUUGUGGAUUGCGGGUACUCGAGUGGCGAACGGGUGAGUAACACGUGAGUGAUCUGCCCCCAACUUGGGUAUAAGCCGGGGAAACUGGGUCUAAUUCCCGAUAGGACUGCAGGGUGGUGCCUGUGGUGGAAAACGAUUUUCUAGUGGUUGGGGAUGAGCUCGCGGCCUAUCAGCUUGUUGGUGGGGUAAUGGCCUACCAAGGCGGCGACGGGUAGCCGGCCUGUGAUGGUGGACGGCCGCAUUGGGACUGGGACACGGCCCAGACUCCUACGGGAGGCAGCAGUGGGGAAUAUUGCACAAUGGGCGGAAGCCUGAUGCAGCGACGCCGCGUGGGGGAUGACGGCCUUCGGGUUGUAAACUCCUUUCGACCGCGAGGAAGCCACCUGGUUGGAAGGGUGGUGACGGUAGUGGUAGAAGAAGCACCGGCUAACUACGUG